This 446-nucleotide ribosomal RNA is filed under the name uncultured bacterium. RNAcentral's name for it is "bacterial SSU rRNA". It matches the Rfam family "Bacterial small subunit ribosomal RNA", at positions 330 to 792 of the family's 1533-position model. The record is from RNAcentral.
UCCAGACUCCUACGGGAGGCAGCAGUGGGGGAUAUUGCACAAUGGGGGGAACCCUGAUGCAGCGACGCCGCGUGGGUGAAGGAGCGUUUCGGCGCGUAAAGCCCUAUCGGCAGGGAAGAAGGAGGACGGUACCUGACUAAGAGGCCCCGGCUAACUACGUGCCAGCAGCCGCGGUAAUACGUAGGGGGCAAGCGUUAUCCGGAUUUACUGGGUGUAAAGGGGGCGCAGACGGCAGCGCAAGCCAGGAGUGAAAGCCCGGGGCCCAACCCCGGGACUGCUCUUGGAACUGCGCGGCUGGAGUGCAGGAGGGGCAGGCGGAAUUCCUGGUGUAGCGGUGAAAUGCGUAGAUAUCAGGAGGAACACCGGUGGCGAAGGCGGCCUGCUGGACUGCGACUGACGUUGAGGCCCGAAAGCGUGGGGAGCAAACAGGAUUAGAUACCCUUGUA